RNAcentral lists this ribosomal RNA (424 nucleotides) under uncultured prokaryote. Its description in RNAcentral is "bacterial SSU rRNA". It matches the Rfam family "Bacterial small subunit ribosomal RNA", at positions 355 to 796 of the family's 1533-position model. The record is from RNAcentral.
UAGGGAAUCUUGCACAAUGGGCGAAAGCCUGAUGCAGCCAUGCCGCGUGAGUGAUGAAGGCCUUAGGGUUGUAAAGCUCUUUCACCGGUGACGAUAAUGACGGUAGCCGGAGAAGAAGCCCCGGCUAACUUCGUGCCAGCAGCCGCGGUAAUACGAAGGGGGCUAGCGUUGUUCGGAAUUACUGGGCGUAAAGCGCGCGUAGGCGGAUGAUUAAGUUAGAGGUGAAAGCCCAGAGCUCAACUCUGGAAUUGCCUUUAAUACUGGUCAUCUUGAGAGUGGAAGAGGAGAGUGGAAUUCCUAGUGUAGAGGUGAAAUUCGUAGAUAUUAGGAAGAACACCCGUGGCGAAGGCGGCUCUCUGGUCCAUAUCUGACGCUGAGGUGCGAAAGCGUGGGGAGCAAACAGGAUUAGAUACCCCGGUAGUCC